CAAUAGCGUAUAUUAAAGUUGUUGCGGUAAAAAAGCUCGUAGUUGGAUUUCUACCGAAGAUAGCCGGUCGGGUCUUCGACCUUGUAUCUGGUUUUGUCUUUAGUAUCCUCAUAGGGAACGUUUCUGCGCUUUAUUGCGUGGUGCGGUAUCUAUGACUUUUACUUUGAGGAAAUUAGAGUGUUCACGGCAGGCAAACGCCUUGAAUAUAUUAGCAUGGAAUAAUAACAUAGGAUCUUCGUCCUAUUUUGUUGGUUUCUAGGGCUAAGAUAAUGAUUAAUAGGGAUAAUUGGGGGCAUCUGUAUCAACGCGUCAGAGGUGGAAUUCUUGGAUUGCGUUGCGACAAACUACUGCGAAAGCAUUUGCCAAGGAUGUUUUCAUUGA
RNAcentral lists this ribosomal RNA (381 nucleotides) under uncultured eukaryote. RNAcentral's name for it is "partial 18S ribosomal RNA". It matches the Rfam family "Eukaryotic small subunit ribosomal RNA", at positions 592 to 976 of the family's 1831-position model. The record is from RNAcentral.